CAAGGGAUAAGAAUGAAAAUAAAUUCCCUGGCCAAUUCUCAAAUACCUGAAUGAAAAAGCAUACAAACAAAGCUUUCCACUCAUCUGUGCAUUUACUUGUAUGAAGGAAAAAGGAAUAACCCAAAAGAAAACAGCUUUAAUACAAGGCAAAAACCAAAACCCAGAAUAUCAAACCUAAUAUCGUUUCCCCAGAAUUAUGCCGAUGAUCACAGAUACCAGGGCUACUCCAAUGAUAAACUUGAAGGUCAUUACAGGAGAGGCAACGGCUCGUGCGGUAGGGAUCUCUCUGGUAGAUGAGGUUUGAGCUGCUGCUUCUAACUUCUUGCUCUUUCGUUUUGAUGGUGUCGAAAUGACUGACCCAAUGUCUCUGGAUUUGAUCUCUGCUGCAUCCUUCACUUCUGAUGGAGU
RNAcentral lists this long non-coding RNA (408 nucleotides) under Citrus sinensis (sweet orange). RNAcentral describes it as "long non-coding RNA (CSIN_LNC002627)". The record is from RNAcentral. Lineage: Eukaryota; Viridiplantae; Streptophyta; Magnoliopsida; Sapindales; Rutaceae.